GCCUAACACAUGCAAGUCGAACGCAGUAGCAAUACUGAGUGGCAGACGGGUGAGUAACAUGUGGGAAUCUGCCUUGUGGUUCAGGACAACAUUGGGAAACCGAUGCUAAUACUGGAUAAGCCCUUACGGGGAAAGUUUUAAUGCCAUAAGAUGAGCCCGCAUUUGAUUAGUUAGUUGGUGAGGUAAUGGCUCACCAAGACAAUGAUCAAUAGCUGAUCUGAGAGGAUGAUCAGCCACACUGGGACUGAGACACGGCCCAGACUCCUACGGGAGGCAGCAGUGGGGAAUCUUGCACAAUGGAGGAAACUCUGAUGCAGCGAUGCCGCGUGAGUGAAGAAGGCCUUUGGGUUGUAAAGCUCUUUUGUAGGGGAAGAUAAUGACUGUACCCUAAGAAUAAGGUCCGGCUAACUUCGUGCCAGCAGCCGCGGUAAUACGAAGGGACCUAGCGUAGUUCGGAAUUACUGGGCGUAAAGCGCGCGUAGGCCGUUGAGUUAGUUAAUUGUGAAAUCCCAAAGCUUAACUUUGGAACUGCAAUUAAAACUGCUCGACUAGAGUUUGAUAGAGGAAAGCGGAAUACAUAGUGUAGAGGUGAAAUUCGUAGAUAUUAUGUAGAACACCAGUUGCGAAGGCGGCUUCCUGGAUCAACACUGACGCUGAGGCGCGAAAGUAUGGGUAGCAAAGAGGAUUAGAUACCCUCGUAGUCCAUACCAUAAACGAUGAUUGCUAGAUGUUGGAAAUUUAUUUUCAGUAUCGCAGCUAACGCAUUAAGCAAUCCGCCUGGGGAGUACGACCGCAAGGUUAAAACUCAAAUGAAUUGACGG
This 821-nucleotide ribosomal RNA is filed under the name uncultured bacterium. Its description in RNAcentral is "bacterial SSU rRNA". It matches the Rfam family "Bacterial small subunit ribosomal RNA", at positions 46 to 916 of the family's 1533-position model. The record is from RNAcentral.